This 553-nucleotide ribosomal RNA is filed under the name uncultured archaeon. Its description in RNAcentral is "bacterial SSU rRNA". It matches the Rfam family "Archaeal small subunit ribosomal RNA", at positions 325 to 879 of the family's 1478-position model. The record is from RNAcentral.
ACGGGGUGCAGCAGGCGCGAAACCUCCACAAUGUACGAAAGUGCGAUGGGGGAAUCCCAAGUGUUAUUCUUAUCAGAAUAGCUUUUCAUUAGUGUAAAGAGCUUUUAGAAUAAGAGCUGGGCAAGACCGGUGCCAGCCGCCGCGGUAACACCGGCAGCUCGAGUGGUAGCUGUUUUUAUUGGGCCUAAAGCAUCCGUAGCUCGCUGAACAAGUCCCCUGUUAAACCCACCGAUUUAAUCGUUGGCUUGCGGGGGAUACUGCUCGGCUAGGGGACGAGAGAGGCAGACGGUAUUCCCGGGGUAGGGGUGAAAUCCUAUAAUCCCGAGAAGACCACCAGUGGCGAAGGCUGUCUGCUAGAACGCGCCCGACGGUGAGGGAUGAAAGCUGGGGGAGCGAACCGGAUUAGAUACCCGGGUAGUCCCAGCUGUAAACGAUGCAGACUAGGUGUUUGGACGGCCACGUGCCGUUCUAGUGCCGCAGGGAAGCUGUUAAGUCUGCCGCCUGGGGAGUACGAUCGCAAGAUUGAAACUUAAAGGAAUUGGCGGGGGAGCAC